This 1318-nucleotide long non-coding RNA is filed under the name Piliocolobus tephrosceles (Ugandan red Colobus). RNAcentral describes it as "lncRNA (ENSPTEG00000015826.1)". The record is from RNAcentral. Lineage: Eukaryota; Metazoa; Chordata; Mammalia; Primates; Cercopithecidae.
CAAUAAGUUUGACUAGUGAACAAAUAAAAGUAAAAGAAGCGGUUUUUAUUUUACAAAAUAUGAAAAAUUUUAACUAUUCUAUUUGUUACAAUGAAAUUCAAAAUGUAAGAAACGAUUUACGAUUAUUUGCUAUUAAUAAUUAUAGAAACAAAAAAUAUGCAGACUGUUUAAUUCAAGCUAUUCAUUCAUAUAUGAUAGCAAAAAAAUAUUAUUUUAAAUAUUAUGGUUUUUAUAUAAAUGGUGACAUGAGUACUGAAUUAAUUUUAAUUUGUAAAUGUUAUGCUCUUGUAGAAAAAUAUGCAGAAGGAGAAAAAUAUUUAAAGGAAUUAAAAUUUUUAAUUGAUAACACUUUAUUAUAUCUGCAUAAAAAAGGAAUUUUUAAGGAUGACCAAAAGCAGAACAAAAUAGAUCAAAAAAAGGAAUCAAAUAAAAAAGGGGAAAUAAAUCUUAAUGAAAACAAUACAGAUUUAAAUUUUGGAGAGCCAGUAAUAUAUUGUGGCAUGGAAGUAUUAUCCAAUUUACUUUAUAUUUUUGCUGAUAUAUUAAGUUUAUAUAAACAAAAUGAACAAGCAGAACAUUAUUUUUUAAAAUAUUUAUAUGUUAUAGAAAAAUGUUUUAACUCUGAUAGUUUAAAUUAUAGUGAUGCAUUAAACGAUAUUUGUUCUUAUUAUAUAAAAAUACAAGAAUAUGAAAAAGCUUUACCAAUUGCUCAAGAAAUUUUAGAAAUAAGGAAAAAAUUUUUUGGUGAUUAUAAUUCAGAAAAUCCAAGUGAAAUAAUAGCUGAUUGUUAUUGUAAUUGGGGCUUAUUGUAUAGACUUUCAAAAAAUCCAAUAGAAGCAUUGCAUAAGUAUUUAAUUGCAGUGGAUAUGAGAAUGAGAAUACAUAAAACGAGACAUACAAUAGAAGUUCAAGAUAUUUUAUUUUCGUUUGCUAUUAUUAUGCAUCAGUUAAAUAAUUUUAAAAUGGCAAUACAACUAUAUAAAGAAGUAUAUCUAUUUUAUAAAAAAUUUUAUGGACCUGACGAUAUUAAUACUCUAAUGGUUGUUAAUUUAAUGAAUGAUUUAGAAAAAGAUAUUAAACGAGAAAAUGAUCAUGCAGGUGUAUCUACAACAAUUAGUGACACUUAUCCUACGAAUAAUAUCAGUUCUAUGACAAAAAUAAAUGAAACCUUAAAAAGAAAUACAAAAUUUGAAAAAAAUUGGGAUACUUUUAAUAAACAAUUACAAAAUAUGCAUCAUACAUCCGAUAUAGAUCCUAAUUUAAUUGAAAAUCUUAUGAAUGAAAAAGUUAUGUUAAACCCUCAAAACUUACCAUAUAA